GGGCCCGUAGCUCAGCUAGGAUAGAGCGGCGGCCUGCGGAGCCGCAGGUCCCGGGUUCGAGUCCCGGCGGGCCCG
This 75-nucleotide transfer RNA is filed under the name Thermoprotei archaeon. RNAcentral's name for it is "tRNA-Arg". It matches the Rfam family "tRNA". Rfam says of the family: Transfer RNA (tRNA) molecules are approximately 80 nucleotides in length. Their secondary structure includes four short double-helical elements and three loops (D, anti-codon, and T loops). The record is from RNAcentral. RNAcentral also lists the same sequence under 2 other names. Lineage: Archaea; Thermoproteati; Thermoproteota; Thermoprotei.